RNAcentral lists this transfer RNA (50 nucleotides) under Loa loa (African eye worm). Its description in RNAcentral is "tRNA-Ser". Lineage: Eukaryota; Metazoa; Nematoda; Chromadorea; Rhabditida; Onchocercidae. The record is from RNAcentral.
GAUAGGUUUUUUUAGUCUUCUAAACUAAUGUUGGGUGAUCCCGUCUAUUU